Molecule: ribosomal RNA, 693 nt
Filed under: uncultured Bacteroidota bacterium
Lineage: Bacteria; Pseudomonadati; Bacteroidota
Description: bacterial SSU rRNA
Rfam family: Bacterial small subunit ribosomal RNA
Source: RNAcentral
AACGCUAGCUACAGGCUUAACACAUGCAAGUCGAGGGGCAGCAUGUUGGUUGCUUGCAACCAAUGAUGGCGACCGGCGCACGGGUGAGUAACGCGUAUCCAACCUUCCCCUUACUCGGGUCCAGCCCGUUGAAAGACGGAUUAAUCCCCGAUGCUCUCAUAUUUUGGCAUCAGUUUAUGAGCAAAGAUUUAUCGGUAAGGGAUGGGGAUGCGUAUGAUUAGCUUGUUGGUGUGGUAACGGCUCACCAAGGCUACGAUCAUUAGGGGUUCUGAGAGGAAGGUCCCCCACACUGGAACUGAGACACGGUCCAGACUCCUACGGGAGGCAGCAGUGAGGAAUAUUGGUCAAUGGAGGCAACUCUGAACCAGCCAAGUAGCGUGCAGGAUGACGGCCCUAUGGGUUGUAAACUGCUUUUAUGCGGGGAUAAACGAGCCUACGUGUAGGUUUUUGCAGGUACCGCAUGAAUAAGGACCGGCUAAUUCCGUGCCAGCAGCCGCGGUAAUACGGAAGGUCCGGGCGUUAUCCGGAUUUAUUGGGUUUAAAGGGAGCGUAGGCGGCCUGUUAAGCGUGUUGUGAAAUGUGGGUGCUCAACAUCUGCACUGCAGCGCGAACUGGCGGGCUUGAGUGGGCUGAAAGUAUGCGGAAUUCGUGGUGUAGCGGUGAAAUGCUUAGAUAUCACGAAGAACUCCGAUU